UAGAGCAUCCCACGUGCUUCUGUUCUAAAGGCAAUUUGGAAUUUCCUUUGUUUAAGAAAUUAUUCAUUUAGUUCCUUGAGCUGUUUGUUAAAGGAUGAUUAAGUAUAAAUUAUAAAAUAAAUAUUCCAUAUCACUUGCAAAUUUUACCCGCUUUGAAUAUGGUCACAAAUAUGAGAAGACGCUAAAGAGAAGCGGGAGUUCCAACACUUUUCCAGCAAACAAAUAAUUUGACUGUAAUGGGAAUUAUUGAUGUGAAGGAAAAUAAAACUGAUUAUCAAAUUCCUAAGGCUUAACAACAAUUUGAGAAAAAGACAUUCUAUUCCUAAGGAUCUGAAAUGAAAAUGUCUUUGAUAGAGUCUUCCUUUAGUAUCCCUAGGUUGAUCCAGACUAUUUCUAAGGCCCAGUUCACCUGUCAGCUCUAAUGAUACUGGAAGAUAGUAGUGCUUUAUAAAAGCAACUGAGAUGUUUCACUGCACUGAGAAGAAAGAAUUCAAACAUGCAAUGCUAGGAAAGAAGGUAAUCUGAAACAACAUUUUUAGCUGUAUGUGCCUUUGUAUCCUAGUCUGGGGAUGGACAGGAAACCUCUUCCUGCUGCUAAUAAUGCAAACUGCUUCUGAUUUAUAGCUUCAAAUACUUUAGCCAAACAAAUAUUCUAUGGGAUCACAUCUGCAUGCCUAGCACAGUAUUAAGGCUCAUCCUCCAUUUAAACAUUGCCACACUGCCUUCCAUCAAAAUGUUAAAAUCAAGGAUAGUUCAGUGGCAGGAAGAGGAAACACAUUCAAGACAACUUGGGUAGAGGGAACUUCUGGAAGGAGAUGAGGAAACUUUGUGGUAAGACCCAACGAACUACUGGAAAUGACAGUAUUCUACUAUUCAUAUCAUUCUACAUUUGAAGACACUAUGCCCUCCCCCCUCCCGCCAAGUCCAAGUGCUCUGGGUUUGUGAAGUUUCAUCAUGGAAAAAGUAAAGGACAACUGGAACAAAUAAAAGAAGUUCUUCCAAUAUCUCUUCGUGUGUAAUGUGUGACCAGUUUCAGCUUCUGACCACUCACCAUCAUGUAAAUUGAUCACAGCCACAGAAGAGAGCAAAAGGCGUGAGAGGGAACAUCCAUUGCAGAUCAGAGAUUAAAUCAAAAGCACCACUUUUAGUAAGAAGGAAGAUGAUGACGAUGGAUGGCUACGUUUUGGGAUGUCUUUAUGAUGUACUUGGACUGCACUAUGCUCUUUCCAUGGAUUAUCUCAAUUAAGCUAAUCUACAAGACUAUGAAGUCAUUUCUCUUACUAUCCUUCCUCUUUACACAUGAAGGAACGGAGACCCAGAAAGUUUAAGUGACUUGUGCAAGGUUACUCCACUGAUAAACAGUGGAGGUGUGUUUGAAAUUCUCUUAGAGAUAAUCCAACACAGGGCUCAGCAAACUUUUUCUGUAAAGGACCAGACCAUAAAAAUUUCAGGCUUUGUGUUGCAACUACUCAACCCUGCUCUUGCAUCACCAAAGGAGCCAGAGAUAUUGCCUACACCAAUGGGCCAUCUUGCAAUAUGUACAGGAAAGAUGUGGUCUGCUGUUUGCUGACCUCUAAUCCUGUCCGUUUCACUCAUUUUGUAUGUGAGAAAACUAAAGCCCAGAAAGGUGAGAGUAUUUCUACUGCUGUUCUGUAUUAGAAAGAAGAUGAAACAUCUCUGGGUCUCAGUCCUGUAAUCUUUUAAUUACAUGAAAUUCAAGAGAUUUCACCAGUUAGUAUGGUAACAGAUUUUAAUAUCUCAUAUUAAAACAAAGGUAAAAUUCACCUGAAACUAUGAUAGUCGCUUACAGAUAGUUAUGUUCAAUAGAAGCCGAUUUUGAACUGAGACUUUUCUGCUUACCUGGUUUGUAUUGAUGCCGUAGUACACAGAGCUCCAAGACCAAGCAGAAAAAUCCCAAACACAUCUCAUUAAGUCAAAUCAAGAAUUAGGGGAGGCGGGUACUCAAAUUGCUACAGACAAGGUGAUGAAGCCAGCUGAAUAGUCCUACCAACACGUAUGCAAAAAUUCAAUUGUGAAGAAAGCAAGACAUGGGCCCUUACUCCGUUCCUUACCCCUGCAGCUGCUGUCUAGAUUUUUCUCCAAGGCUUUGUGUAAACCUGUUAAUACAUUCCUAAUUGAAAACAGCAUAUUUCUCUCCCACUAUCUCAAUUCAUGGCCUCUGAAAUUUCACUUGAAAUGAAAUUCAUCACAAAAUCGAGUAAUGGUUGUUGCAGGUUCUGAUUCCUUGGAACAUUCUUUAUAAAAUUUAACUCAAAAUUUAUUUAAUAAUAAAGCUGCUCCCCAAAAUAUUGUGAUAUAUAAAAGAGGCAGCAAAGAUUUGAUCUUCGAUGAAAUGAGACCUUGAACAAUAAUAACUAAUAAGACAGACAUAAACGCUAACAUUUAUUAUUUACUCUACAUCAGACUCUGUCCAAAGGAUUUUAUAUUUAGUCCUCCAAACCACAGAUAAGGACAUAGGUGCUCAGAGAGGUGAAGUAUCUUACCCAGAGCUGUACGAAUUCUAAGAGUCAGGGCUGAAAUCCAGGCAGCUGACCUGCGAGGCUGGGUGAUUAACCCUCCUCCAGAGCCUAGAGCCCCAAGUCAUGUUGCCAGGAUUCAUGCCCUGCGCACCCUUCCCCUGCUAGUGGGCUGGCUUUGGACUGGCCAAAUUAUCUGAGCCUCAGUAUCCUUCCCUGUGAGACAAGCAUAAAUAUGGUACCUCCCAUCUAGUAUUUGUGUGUAUAUCCAUCCUGAGUGCUUAGCAUCACAUCAACUUAAAAUUUCAAUUUAUUGAUAUGAUGAAAAAAAUUUCAAUAUAUGAAUAAACAUUUCCCCAAACAAACCCUGAGGGUCAAGGAGACCCAGAUUUAAAUUCUAGUUUCACAACUGACCAGCUAUGUCAUCUCAAAUUAGGAAGUUAAACUUUCUCACCCUCAGUUUCUUCUUCUCUAAAAUGCAGAUAAAAGUAAUGAUUUCGCAGAGUUCACAUGAAGAUACGAAGAGGUGAUGGCUUCAGGGUCCCUGUCACAAGGCCAAGGAAGGUGCUAGGAAAAUGUCAGUCAUUCCCUGCCUUGUUCCAGCCCCACCUGCUCCUUUUGGGUUGUGAGAAUCCCACAAACCUGCAAAGCCCUGCUCUACCCAACCUCAGUCACUGUCCUGGGAUGGACCGUGAAGCAGCUGAUGGGCUUCUCACCUCUCAGUGAACAGAGUCUAAGGGGGGAACAAGGAUGUUACAGUCAUUACAGAAAAAUUAAUACAGGAGGACAAGGAAGCUCCUGACCCAGAUAUGGAACCCAGGGCAUAUCUCAGAAAUGCUCUAAGAAUCUGUAAGGAUUAGUAAGGCAAGAAAUUGUUUUUUUAAUCCCCCAGGCAGAAGGAAAGUCUAAGUAAAAGUUCUGAGGUAUACAAACUAGAACUUUUGAUAAACUGAGAUCAAUUUUCAGUAUGGCUGGAGCAUCAAAUUCUAGAGAAAGAGUCCAAGAGAUGAGGCUGCAGAAGUAGAGCUGGAAAAAAAUUACUGAUUCCUGGGAUGGAUUUUCAAUGGAGUGGGACAGGCUGAUGGCAGACUGGCAUUUUGGAAAGAUCAUUCCAGAUGUCCCUUCUUGGGUCCUCUUCCAUCCUACAAUAUUCUCUCCUCGCUCAGAAUCACCUCGUCUCUGAUCAUUUGUAUCAUUCACUGAAUAUGUAAUCACAUGUCAUUUAUCAUUUUAAUAUAAAUAUUCCUUGUAUAUUUCUGUGUUUUAUUUCUUUAUCUCUUUCGCAGUGCUCGGCAGACGGCAGGUGCUCAAAACUGUUGACCUCUCUGGUCGCUCCCUGAUGCCAGUGCUCUAUCUUAUAUUUCUUUUAUAUCUUCCGCUGUAUCUAGCAGAGUUGUACAUAGUUGAGUAAGAAAUCAUUUUAAAAUCAACUGGGGAUGGGCAGCCUGGGUGGCUCAGCGGUUUA
Molecule: long non-coding RNA, 3942 nt
Organism: Canis lupus familiaris (dog)
Lineage: Eukaryota; Metazoa; Chordata; Mammalia; Carnivora; Canidae
Exons: 10
Source: RefSeq, a predicted model, not a curated record